This 372-nucleotide ribosomal RNA is filed under the name uncultured bacterium. RNAcentral's name for it is "bacterial SSU rRNA". It matches the Rfam family "Bacterial small subunit ribosomal RNA", at positions 527 to 896 of the family's 1533-position model. The record is from RNAcentral.
GUAGGAGGCGAGCGUUGUCCGGAAUCAUUGGGCGUAAAGAGCGCGCAGGCGGCUUGGCAAGUCGGGUGUGAAAUCCCGGGGCUCAACCCCGUGACUGCAUCCGAUACUGUCGGGCUAGAGGUAGGUAGGGGAGAUCGGAAUUCCUGGUGUAGCGGUGAAAUGCGCAGAUAUCAGGAGGAACACCGGUGGCGAAGGCGGAUCUCUGGGCCUUACCUGACGCUCAGGCGCGAAAGCUAGGGGAGCGAACAGGAUUAGAUACCCUGGUAGUCCUAGCCGUAAACGUUGGGUGCUAGGUGUGGGCGGAUAUCAACCCCGUCCGUGCCGAAGCUAACGCAUUAAGCACCCCGCCUGGGGAGUACGGCCGCAAGGCUA